GAAGCGGGCGUGUCAAUCGGGCAUGACGGUACGGAGAACGGAGACGGUUUUCCCGGUUUCCCGCUCUGGCAUCAACGAAUUGGCAGACGAGCUUCUGUCCCGUCCGCCCG
Molecule: small RNA, 110 nt
Filed under: Rhodobium orientis
Lineage: Bacteria; Pseudomonadati; Pseudomonadota; Alphaproteobacteria; Hyphomicrobiales; Rhodobiaceae
Description: Rhizobiales sRNA Atu_At1
Rfam family: Rhizobiales sRNA Atu_At1
Source: Rfam by way of RNAcentral